AAGAGACAAUUAAUCCUCUCAGUAAAGCAGCCCAGUGCACCCAUGGAUUCCCAACUGUGACACAAGAGGAAUGACCAAGUGUCUGUUGUACAGCUGUUUUACUCUUUCACUUGCAAAUUAUUCAAACCAAGAAAGAUCCUAUGGUGAAUCCUGCAUUAAGAAUUCUGUUCAGCAACUGAUCUUUGCUCUGCUGGUGGGACCUUUCCUUGGGAAGAGCAAGAGUAAAAUCUAUUUCUGA
Molecule: long non-coding RNA, 238 nt
Filed under: Numida meleagris (helmeted guineafowl)
Lineage: Eukaryota; Metazoa; Chordata; Aves; Galliformes; Numididae
Description: lncRNA (ENSNMEG00000021977.1)
Source: RNAcentral